GACGAACGCUGGCGGCGUGCUUAACACAUGCAAGUCGAACGGAAAGGCCCUGCUUUUGUGGGGUGCUCGAGUGGCGAACGGGUGAGUAACACGUGAGUAACCUGCCCUUGACUUUGGGAUAACUUCAGGAAACUGGGGCUAAUACCGGAUAGGAGCUCCUGCUGCAUGGUGGGGGUUGGAAAGUUUCGGCGGUUGGGGAUGGACUCGCGGCUUAUCAGCUUGUUGGUGGGGUAGUGGCUUACCAAGGCUUUGACGGGUAGCCGGCCUGAGAGGGUGACCGGCCACAUUGGGACUGAGAUACGGCCCAGACUCCUACGGGAGGCAGCAGUGGGGAAUAUUGCACAAUGGGCGGAAGCCGGAUGCAGCAACGCCGCGUGCGGGAUGACGGCCUUCGGGUGGUAAACCGCUUUCGCAUGUGACGAAGCGUGAGUGACGGUAAUGGGUAAAGAAGCACCGGCUAACUACGU
This 467-nucleotide ribosomal RNA is filed under the name uncultured bacterium. RNAcentral describes it as "partial 16S ribosomal RNA". It matches the Rfam family "Bacterial small subunit ribosomal RNA", at positions 28 to 506 of the family's 1533-position model. The record is from RNAcentral.